GAUCCUGGCUCAGGACGAACGCUGGCGGCGUGCUUAACACAUGCAAGUCGAACGAGAAUCUACUGAAAGAGUUUUCGGACAAUGGAAGUGGAGGAAAGUGGCGGACGGGUGAGUAACGCGUGAGGAACCUGCCUUGAAGAGGGGGACAACAGUUGGAAACGACUGCUAAUACCGCAUGAUGCAUAAGGGUCGCAUGAUUCUUUAUGCCAAAGAUUUAUCGCUUCAAGAUGGCCUCGCGU
Molecule: ribosomal RNA, 239 nt
Filed under: uncultured bacterium
Lineage: Bacteria
Description: partial 16S ribosomal RNA
Rfam family: Bacterial small subunit ribosomal RNA
Source: RNAcentral